RNAcentral lists this ribosomal RNA (465 nucleotides) under Vreelandella stevensii. Its description in RNAcentral is "partial 16S ribosomal RNA". It matches the Rfam family "Bacterial small subunit ribosomal RNA", at positions 338 to 795 of the family's 1533-position model. The record is from RNAcentral. Lineage: Bacteria; Pseudomonadati; Pseudomonadota; Gammaproteobacteria; Oceanospirillales; Halomonadaceae.
CCUACGGGGGGCUGCAGUGGGGAAUAUUGGACAAUGGGGGGAACCCUGAUCCAGCCAUGCCGCGUGUGUGAAGAAGGCCCUCGGGUUGUAAAGCACUUUCAGUGAGGAAGAACGCCUGGUGGUUAAUACCCAUCAGGAAAGACAUCACUCACAGAAGAAGCACCGGCUAACUCCGUGCCAGCAGCCGCGGUAAUACGGAGGGUGCGAGCGUUAAUCGGAAUUACUGGGCGUAAAGCGCGCGUAGGUGGCUUGAUAAGCCGGUUGUGAAAGCCCCGGGCUCAACCUGGGAACGGCAUCCGGAACUGUCAAGCUAGAGGGCAGGAGAGGAAGGUAGGAUUCCCGGUGUAGCGGUGAAAUGCGUAGAGGUCGGGAGGAAUACCAGUGGCGAAGGCGGGCUUCUGGACUGACACUGACACUGAGGUGCGAAAGCGUGGGUAGCAAACAGGAUUAGAUACCCUUGUAGUC